UGUAUGUACCAUAUGAAUAAGGAUCGGCUAACUCCGUGCCAGCAGCCGCGGUAAUACGGAGGAUCCGAGCGUUAUCCGGAUUUAUUGGGUUUAAAGGGAGCGUAUGUGGACAGUUAAGUCAGUUGUGAAAGUUUGCGGCUCAACCGUAAAAUUGCAGUUGAUACUGGCUGUCUUGAGUACAGUAGAGGUGGGCGGAAUUCGUGGUGUAGCGGUGAAAUGCUUARAUAUCACGAAGAACUCCGAUUGCGAAGGCAGCUCACUGGACUGCAACUGACACUGAUGCUCGAAAGUGUGGGUAUCAAACAGGAUUAKAUACCCUGGUAGUCCACACAGUAAACGAUGAAUACUCGCUGUUUGCGAUAUACAGUAAGCGGCCAAGCGAAAGCAUUAAGUAUUCCACCUGGGGAGUACGCCGGCAACGGUGAAACUCAAAGGAAUUGACGGGGGCCCGCACAAGCGGAGGAACAUGUGGUUUAAUUCGAUGAUACGCGAGGAACCUUACCCGGGCUUAAAUUGCAUUUGAAUAWWUUGGAAACAGGAUAGCCGUAAGGCAAAUGUGAAGGUGCUGCAUGGUUGUCGUCAGCUCGUGCCGUGAGGUGUCGGCUUAAGUGCCAUAACGAGCGCAACCCUUAUCUUUAGUUACUAACAGGUCAUGCUGAGGACUCUAGAGAGACUGCCGUCGUAAGAUGUGAGGAAGGUGGGGAUGACGUCAAAUCAGCACGGCCCUUACGUCCGGGGCUACACACGUGUUACAAUGGGGGGUACAGAAGGCAGCUACCUGGUGACAGGAUGCUAAUCCCAAAAGCCUCUCUCAGUUCGGAUCGAAGUCUGCAACCCGACUUCGUGAAGCUGGAUUCGCUAGUAAUCGCGCAUCAGCCAUGGCGCGGUGAAUACGUUCCCGGGCCUUGUACACACCGCCCGUCAAGCCAUG
RNAcentral lists this ribosomal RNA (931 nucleotides) under Bacteroides thetaiotaomicron. RNAcentral's name for it is "bacterial SSU rRNA". It matches the Rfam family "Bacterial small subunit ribosomal RNA", at positions 470 to 1406 of the family's 1533-position model. The record is from RNAcentral. Lineage: Bacteria; Pseudomonadati; Bacteroidota; Bacteroidia; Bacteroidales; Bacteroidaceae.